GGAUCAUUAAAGAGUGUAAUAAAACUCCUAAACCCCUGUGAACUUAUAUUGGUUUGACGCAGCAGAUAGCGUCUACCUCGCGGGCUCCUACCUUGGUAAGAGCUUGCAAGGUGGGCGCAGGUCUGUUUUUCCAUAUUCGUAAGGCUCUCUCUUUUAUUAGAGAGCGGUCUGCGCAGUGGACGCAGUUAGUUACUUACGUUGCGACAUCGCAAGCGUUAUUGUACAAAUACUGUGGAGGUCACAUAAACCUGUUUACUGUUAUAAUCUGAAAUAUAUAAAACAAGUUAAAACUUUCAACAACGGAUCUCUUGGUUCUGGCAUCGAUGAAGAACGCAGCGAAAUGCGAUAAGUAAUGUGAAUUGCAGAAUUCAGUGAAUCAUCGAAUCUUUGAACGCACAUUGCGCCCAUUAGUAUUCUAGUGGGCAUGCCUGUUCGAGCGUCAUUUCAACCCUUAAGCCCCUGUUGCUUAGCGUUGGGAGCCUACAGCCUGCUGUAGCUCCUUAAAGGUAGUGGCGGAGUCGGUUCACACUCUAGACGUAGUAAAAUCUUUAUCUCGCCUAUAGAUGAGCCGGCGCCUUGCCGUAAAACCCCUACUCUUUCACAAGGUUGACCUCGGAUCAGGUAGGAAUACCCGCUGAACUUAAGCAUAUCAAUAAGCGGAGGAAAAGAAACCAACAGGGAUUGCCCUAGUAACGGCGAGUGAAGCGGCAACAGCUCAAAUUUGAAAUCUGGCCUUCGGGUCCGAGUUGUAAUUUGCAGAGGAUGCUUUGGGCGCGGUGCCUUCCGAGUUCCCUGGAACGGGACGCCUUAGAGGGUGAGAGCCCCGUACGGUUGGACACCAAGCCUCUGUAAAGCUCCUUCGACGAGUCGAGUAGUUUGGGAAUGCUGCUCUAAAUGGGAGGUAAAUUUCUUCUAAAGCUAAAUAUUGGCCAGAGACCGAUAGCGCACAAGUAGAGUGAUCGAAAGAUGAAAAGCACUUUGAAAAGAGGGUUAAAUAGCACGUGAAAUUGUUGAAAGGGAAGCGUUUGCGACCAGACCUUUUCCCAGCGGAUCAUCCGGUGUUCUCACCGGUGCACUUCGCUGGGUUGAGGCCAGCAUCGGUUUCCGCAGGGGGAUAAAAGCCUGGGGAACGUAGCUCCCUCGGGAGUGUUAUAGCCCCUCGCAUAAUACCCUUGCGGGGACCGAGGACCGCGCU
RNAcentral lists this ribosomal RNA (1195 nucleotides) under Xylaria sp. genotype 397. RNAcentral describes it as "eukaryotic LSU rRNA". The stretch from base 608 to 1195 matches the Rfam family "Eukaryotic large subunit ribosomal RNA", at positions 1 to 599 of the family's 3401-position model. The record is from RNAcentral. Lineage: Eukaryota; Fungi; Ascomycota; Sordariomycetes; Xylariales; Xylariaceae.